RNAcentral lists this ribosomal RNA (465 nucleotides) under bacterium Urf239. Its description in RNAcentral is "bacterial SSU rRNA". It matches the Rfam family "Bacterial small subunit ribosomal RNA", at positions 17 to 474 of the family's 1533-position model. The record is from RNAcentral.
UCAUGGCUCAGGAUGAAUGCGGAGGCGUGCGUAAUACUGCAAGUCGAGCGAAGGAUUAAGAGCUUGCUCUUUUGAAUUAGAGGCGGAAGGGUGAGUAACACGUGGGUAACCUGCCCAUAAGACUGGGAUAACUCCGGGAAACCGGGGCUAAUACCGGAUAAUAUUUUGAACUGCAUGGUUCGAAAUUGAAAGGCGGCUUCGGCUGUCAAUUACGGAUGGACCCGCGUCGCAUAGCUAGUUGGUGAGGUAACGGCUCACCAAGGCAACGAUGAGUAGCCGACCUGAGAGGGUGAUCGGCCACACUGGGACUGAGACACGGCCCAGACUCCUACGGGAGGCAGCAGUAGGGAAUCUUCCGCAAUGGACGAAAGUCUGAUCGGAGCAACGCCGCGUGAGUGAUGAAGGCUUUCGGGUCGUAAAACUCUGUUGUUAGGGAAGAACAAGUGCUAGUUGAAUAAGCUGGCA